RNAcentral lists this ribosomal RNA (1100 nucleotides) under Weissella cibaria. RNAcentral describes it as "bacterial SSU rRNA". It matches the Rfam family "Bacterial small subunit ribosomal RNA", at positions 30 to 1122 of the family's 1533-position model. Lineage: Bacteria; Bacillati; Bacillota; Bacilli; Lactobacillales; Lactobacillaceae. The record is from RNAcentral.
UGAAGUGGCGGCGUGCUAUACAUGCAGUCGAACGCUUUGUGGUUCAACUGAUUUGAAGAGCUUGCUCAGAUAUGACGAUGGACAUUGCAAAGAGUGGCGAACGGGUGAGUAACACGUGGGAAACCUACCUCUUAGCAGGGGAUAACAUUUGGAAACAGAUGCUAAUACCGUAUAACAAUAGCAACCGCAUGGUUGCUACUUAAAAGAUGGUUCUGCUAUCACUAAGAGAUGGUCCCGCGGUGCAUUAGUUAGUUGGUGAGGUAAUGGCUCACCAAGACGAUGAUGCAUAGCCGAGUUGAGAGACUGAUCGGCCACAAUGGGACUGAGACACGGCCCAUACUCCUACGGGAGGCAGCAGUAGGGAAUCUUCCACAAUGGGCGAAAGCCUGAUGGAGCAACGCCGCGUGUGUGAUGAAGGGUUUCGGCUCGUAAAACACUGUUGUAAGAGAAGAAUGACAUUGAGAGUAACUGUUCAAUGUGUGACGGUAUCUUACCAGAAAGGAACGGCUAAAUACGUGCCAGCAGCCGCGGUAAUACGUAUGUUCCAAGCGUUAUCCGGAUUUAUUGGGCGUAAAGCGAGCGCAGACGGUUAUUUAAGUCUGAAGUGAAAGCCCUCAGCUCAACUGAGGAAUUGCUUUGGAAACUGGAUGACUUGAGUGCAGUAGAGGAAAGUGGAACUCCAUGUGUAGCGGUGAAAUGCGUAGAUAUAUGGAAGAACACCAGUGGCGAAGGCGGCUUUCUGGACUGUAACUGACGUUGAGGCUCGAAAGUGUGGGUAGCAAACAGGAUUAGAUACCCUGGUAGUCCACACCGUAAACGAUGAGUGCUAGGUGUUUGAGGGUUUCCGCCCUUAAGUGCCGCAGCUAACGCAUUAAGCACUCCGCCUGGGGAGUACGACCGCAAGGUUGAAACUCAAGGAUUGACGGGGACCCGCACAGCGGUGGAGCAUGUGGUUUAUCGAGCACGCGAGACUUACAGUCUGACAUCCCUGACACUCAGAGAUGAGCGUCCCUCGGACAGUGACAGUGUGCAUGUGUCGUCAGCUCGUGUCGUGAGAUGUGGGUAGUCCCGCACGAGCGCACCCUUAUUACUAGUGCAGC